Carica papaya (papaya) is the source of this 332-nucleotide non-coding RNA. The record is from RefSeq and is a predicted model, not a curated record. NCBI's taxonomy places the organism in Eukaryota, Viridiplantae, Streptophyta, Magnoliopsida, Brassicales, Caricaceae.
GGGGGAGGGGGGAGGAAGGAGGUUGCAAGAUUUCUGGGGCUAUCAAUUUAUGGAAAUACAUGUUUGGUGAUUAAGUCAGUACCUUGAAGAGUUUGUUGUCAGUUCGGAAAGCAAUGCCUUGAACAUCAUGCAACCAAAAGGGGAAUGCUGGCACUGUAGCCAGCGGGUGUCAGACCCCGACCUCCUCUAUGGCCAUGGAGCUGACAGGACAUAACCAUUUAAGGCUACUGCCUUUGGUUGAAUGAUAUAUAUAUCCUUUCUAUGUGAAAAGGAUUCGCUUGCAUUAUUGCCUUGGAAUAUUGUUAAUUUGAAGGGAUUUUGUGUUACCCGUA